GGAUGUGAGGGUGAGCUGGCCAUCACCCCAUUGAUUGGCUAUGCGGCUGGCUAGGCGUGUGUCCCCAUCUUCCGUGUCUGCUCCACCUGAAUCCCUUCCAAAGCCAAACUCUCAAAGACGAGGACCUUCCCCGUAGAGGGGACCUUCUUGAGUGAGGGGUAUAUGAGUGGCUGUGCUCCCCCAAACAAGCCUUCAUUUAUUUGUGCAG
This 208-nucleotide small RNA is filed under the name Vulpes vulpes (red fox). Its description in RNAcentral is "7SK RNA (ENSVVUG00000013739.1)". It matches the Rfam family "7SK RNA", at positions 1 to 258 of the family's 331-position model. Rfam says of the family: 7SK was discovered as an abundant small nuclear RNA in the mid-70s but a possible function has only recently been suggested. The record is from RNAcentral. Lineage: Eukaryota; Metazoa; Chordata; Mammalia; Carnivora; Canidae.